UGGGGAAUUUUGGACAAUGGGGGAAACCCUGAUCCAGCCAUGCCGCGUGAGUGAAGAAGGCCUUCGGGUUGUAAAGCUCUUUCAGCCGGAACGAAACGGUCACGGCUAAUACCUGUGAUCACUGACGGUACCGGAAGAAGAAGCACCGGCUAACUACGUGCCAGCAGCCGCGGUAAUACGUAGGGUGCGAGCGUUAAUCGGAAUUACUGGGCGUAAAGCGUGCGCAGGCGGUUUUGUAAGUCAGAUGUGAAAUCCCCGGGCUUAACCUGGGAACUGCGUUUGAAACUACAAGGCUAGAGUGUAGCAGAGGGGGGUGGAAUUCCACGUGUAGCAGUGAAAUGCGUAGAGAUGUGGAGGAACACCGAUGGCGAAGGCAGCCCCCUGGGUUAACACUGACGCUCAGGCACGAAAGCGUGGGGAGCGAAACAGGAUUAGAUACCCCUGGUAGUCCACGCCCUAAAACUAUGUCAACUAGUUGUCGGGCCUUAACGGGCUUGGUAACGCAGCUAACGCGUGAAGUU
This 521-nucleotide ribosomal RNA is filed under the name uncultured Pseudomonadota bacterium. RNAcentral's name for it is "bacterial SSU rRNA". It matches the Rfam family "Bacterial small subunit ribosomal RNA", at positions 355 to 866 of the family's 1533-position model. Lineage: Bacteria; Pseudomonadati; Pseudomonadota. The record is from RNAcentral.